AGCGAACGCUGGCGGCAGGCUUAACACAUGCAAGUCGAGCGGGCGUAGCAAUACGUCAGCGGCAGACGGGUGAGUAACGCGUGGGGACAUACCUUUUGGUUCGGAACAACACAGGGAAACUUGUGCUAAUACCGAAUAAGCCCUUACGGGGAAAGAUUUAUCGCCGAAAGAUUGGCCCGCGUCUGAUUAGCUAGUUGGUG
RNAcentral lists this ribosomal RNA (200 nucleotides) under uncultured bacterium. Its description in RNAcentral is "partial 16S ribosomal RNA". It matches the Rfam family "Bacterial small subunit ribosomal RNA", at positions 29 to 254 of the family's 1533-position model. The record is from RNAcentral.